GGACCCGCACAAGCGGUGGAACAUGUGGUUUAAUUCGAUAAUACGCGAAAAACCUUACCAAGUUUUGACAUGAUAAUUAUGCGCAUGGGAAACUAUGUAGCUAGCAACAGCUAAAUUAUCACAGGUGUUGCAUGGCUGUCGUCAGCUCGUGUCGUGAGAUGUUGGGUUAAGUCCCGUAACGAGCGCAACCCUUAUUUUUAGUUGCAAUCGAUAUUUUCGAGCACUCUAAGAAAACUGCCAAAUUUUUGGAGGAAGGUGAGGAUGACGUCAAGUCAGUAUGGCCCUUAUAACUUGGGCUACACACGUGUUACAAUGACAAUUACAAUAUGAGGCGAAAGAGCGAUCUGGAGCAAAUCCCUAAAAAUUGUCUCAGUUCAGAUUGUACCCUGCAACUCGGGUACAUGAAGUAGGAAUC
This 415-nucleotide ribosomal RNA is filed under the name uncultured bacterium. Its description in RNAcentral is "bacterial SSU rRNA". It matches the Rfam family "Bacterial small subunit ribosomal RNA", at positions 917 to 1333 of the family's 1533-position model. The record is from RNAcentral.